This 317-nucleotide ribosomal RNA is filed under the name uncultured bacterium. Its description in RNAcentral is "partial 16S ribosomal RNA". It matches the Rfam family "Bacterial small subunit ribosomal RNA", at positions 356 to 665 of the family's 1533-position model. The record is from RNAcentral.
AGGGAAUCUUCGGCAAUGGGGGCAACCCUGACCGAGCAACGCCGCGUGAGUGAAGAAGGUUUUCGGAUCGUAAAGCUCUGUUGUAAGUCAAGAACGGGUGUGAGAGUGGAAAGUUCACACUGUGACGGUAGCUUACCAGAAAGGGACGGCUAACUACGUGCCAGCAGCCGCGGUAAUACGUAGGUCCCGAGCGUUGUCCGGAUUUAUUGGGCGUAAAGCGAGCGCAGGCGGUUUGAUAAGUCUGAAGUUAAAGGCUGUGGCUCAACCAUAGUUCGCUUUGGAAACUGUCAAACUUGAGUGCAGAAGGGGAGAGUGGA